Mytilus californianus (California mussel) is the source of this 7410-nucleotide RNA transcript. It is a transcript of the gene named calcium-transporting ATPase sarcoplasmic/endoplasmic reticulum type-like, with no coding region annotated. The transcript has 27 exons. Lineage: Eukaryota; Metazoa; Mollusca; Bivalvia; Mytilida; Mytilidae. The record is from RefSeq and is a predicted model, not a curated record.
CAUAAAAGAACCAAUGCAAAAAUAUAAAAAUCAAAUUAAUAAAUUUGUAUUGGUUUAGAUAUUGGAAAGUAUACAAAAAAAUACAUAUUCACUCCGAAAAAUGUUUACGCAGUUAACUCCCCCUUUUUGAUGACGUAGAUUCUUCCUUUACCUAACACGGCAGCGAUUCUGCGAUACCAGUUGUACGGUGCUCCACUGUUCUACAUCGAAAACUCAAGCCAGAAAUUAUAAAAUUUCUCGCUUGAAUUUUCAAUAAGCUUCCAUAACACUAAGACUGCGUCAAAGGGUACACCAAAGUAACAAAUUCUAUGAUUUGAAAGGAUUUUCGUGAAUGUUCUGACUUGUCUUUCGUAAAAACUGAUUUACAUUUCACCGAAGUAUGGAAGCUUCUCAUACAAAAUCCGUGGAGGAAGUGUUGGAUUAUUUUAAUGUUGGGGAAGAAACUGGAUAUACAGAUGACCAAGUGAAAGCUGGAAUUGAAAAAUAUGGCCCAAACGAAUUACCAGCAGAGGAAGGUAAACCUCUAUGGGAAUUAAUUCUAGAACAGUUUGAUGAUUUAUUAGUCAAAAUUCUUUUAUUAGCAGCUGUAAUAUCUUUUGUAUUAGCUUGGUUUGAAGAAAGUGAGGAACAAGUAACAGCAUUCGUAGAACCAUUUGUGAUAUUGACAAUUUUAAUUUGUAAUGCUGUAGUAGGAGUUUGGCAGGAAAAAAAUGCAGAAAGUGCCAUUGAAGCAUUAAAAGAAUAUGAACCAGAAAUAGCUAAAGUAGUUAGAAAAAGUCAUAGAGGAAUCCAGAGAAUACGAGCUAGUAACUUAGUCCCUGGAGAUAUUGUAGAAGUCUCUGUGGGAGAUAAAGUACCUGCAGAUAUCAGAAUUAGCACAAUUCAUUCCACUACUCUUAGAAUAGAUCAGUCCAUUCUCACAGGAGAAAGUGUAAGUGUAAUCAAGCACACAGAUCCUAUACCAGAUCCAAGAGCCGUCAAUCAAGACAAGAAGAAUAUUCUGUUUUCUGGAACAAAUAUCGCAGCAGGAAAAUGCAGAGGAAUUGUAAUUGGUACCGGACUCAAUACGGAAAUCGGAAAAAUCAGAGACGAAAUGAUGGAUACAGAAACAGAGAAGACACCAUUGCAACAGAAAUUAGAUGAAUUUGGACAGCAAUUGUCUAAGGUGAUUACUAUUAUUUGUAUUGCUGUAUGGGCCAUCAACAUCGGACAUUUCAAUGAUCCAGCUCAUGGUGGAUCAUGGGUCAAGGGAGCUAUCUAUUAUUUCAAGAUUGCGGUUGCUUUGGCUGUGGCUGCUAUCCCAGAAGGUUUACCAGCUGUCAUUACAACUUGUCUUGCUUUAGGUACACGAAGAAUGGCCAAGAAAAAUGCUAUUGUGAGAAGUUUACCCUCAGUAGAAACUCUUGGUUGUACUUCAGUAAUCUGUUCUGAUAAAACUGGUACCCUGACAACCAAUCAGAUGUCUGUUUGUAGAAUGUUCACAUUUGCCAAAAUAGAAGGAAAUGAUGUUAAGACAGAUCAGUUUGAAAUCACAGGAUCUACAUAUGCCCCUGAAGGUGACAUUUACUUAGGUGGAAAGAAAGUAAAGACUGGUGAUUAUCCUGGGUUAGAAGAACUAGCUACAGUGUGUGUAAUGUGUAAUGAUUCUAGUGUUGAUUACAAUGAUACAAAGGAAGUGUAUGAAAAGGUUGGUGAAGCGACAGAAACUGCUUUGACUGUGUUAGUAGAGAAAAUGGACUAUUAUAAUACAGACAAAACAGGAUUGAACAAACGAGAAAAGGGUACAGCUUGCAAUCAUGUCAUUUCUCAAAUGUGGAAAAAGGAAUUUACAUUGGAGUUUUCCCGUGACAGGAAAUCUAUGAGUGUGUAUUGUUCACCUAACAAACCCACCAGGACUGCUCAAGGAUGUAAAAUGUUUGCAAAGGGAGCACCAGAAGGAAUAUUAGACAGAUGUACCCAUGUCCGAGUUGGUAGUACUAAAGUACCCAUGUCUCCAGCCAUUAAAAAUGAAAUCAUGAAACAUGUAGCAGCAUAUGGAACAGGACGUGACACCCUACGAUGCUUGGCAUUAGCCACCAUUGAUAACCCACCACGUAGAGAAGAUAUGGACUUGGAAGAUUCUAGGAAGUUUAUUGAGUAUGAGACAAAUAUGACCUUUGUUGGUGUUGUUGGAAUGUUGGACCCUCCACGUACAGAAGUAAUGGACUCCAUUAAAAGGUGCCGUGAUGCUGGAAUCAGAGUCAUUGUCAUCACUGGUGAUAACAAGGCUACUGCUGAGGCAAUCUGCAGAAGAAUUGGGGUAUUUGGUGAAAAUGAAUCAACAGAAGGCUUGUCAUUUACUGGACGAGAGUUUGAUGACCUGUCUAUGGAAGAGCAAAGAAGGGCUGUUAUGAAGGCUCGUCUAUUUGCACGUGUAGAACCAACUCACAAAAGUAAAAUUAUUGAAUAUCUACAGGGAGAAGGAGAAGUCUCAGCUAUGACAGGUGAUGGUGUAAAUGAUGCCCCUGCUCUGAAGAAAGCUGAGAUUGGAAUUGCUAUGGGUUCUGGUACUGCUGUGGCAAAGACCGCUUCUGAGAUGGUAUUGGCAGAUGACAACUUUGCUUCCAUUGUAGCUGCAGUAGAAGAAGGCAGAGCCAUCUACAAUAACAUGAAACAAUUUAUUCGCUACCUGAUCUCAUCAAACAUUGGAGAAGUUGUUUGUAUUUUCCUGACAGCUGCCCUUGGUAUCCCAGAAGCUUUAAUUCCAGUACAGUUGUUAUGGGUUAACUUGGUAACGGAUGGUUUACCAGCCACAGCUCUAGGAUUUAAUCCACCAGAUCUUGACAUAAUGAAGAAACAACCAAGAAGUGCCAAAGACAGUCUCAUCUCAGGAUGGUUGUUCUUCAGAUAUAUGGCUAUUGGAAUCUAUGUUGGUUGUGCCACAGUUGGAGCAGCAGCUUGGUGGUUUAUGGUCUAUGAUCAUGGACCCAAACUUAACUAUUACCAACUUACCCACCAUAUGCAAUGUCCAGCUGAGCCAGGAAUGUUCAAAGAUGUUAGUUGUCAUAUAUUUAAUGAUCCUCAUCCAAUGACAAUGGCCCUGUCUGUACUGGUCACUAUCGAAAUGCUCAAUGCAUUAAACAGUUUGAGUGAGAACCAGUCAUUGAUAGCUAUGCCUCCAUGGUCCAACCCUUGGUUGUUGGGUGCCAUUGCUCUCUCCAUGUCUCUUCAUUUCCUUAUUUUGUACACAGAAGUAAUGUCUACAAUUUUCCAGAUCACCCCAUUGAACUUGGCAGAAUGGUCAGCAGUGUUAAAGAUAUCAAUCCCAGUCAUCAUACUGGACGAAACAUUGAAGUUCGUCGCCAGAAAGUUUACUGAUGGUAAAAAAAAUAUUUUACUAGGUUCAGUAACAAUGUUCCUCGUCUGGGUUGUGUACAUUGGACUGGCAUAUUUAUCUCCUAUAUGAUGAUUGUUCCCAUUAGUUUUUAAACAUUUUCCUACCUUGUCAUGCAUCUCGUCAACAACCAUUGUUUUCCUGCCCCAGAAUAACCUGAUUACCACAGAAAUAGCAUUGACUUAAUCUCAUUAAUAUCAGGAAAUUAUGGUUUCCAUUUGUUAAUUGUUGUGAUAUUGUCUAGAAACAUUUUGAAAAAAGGGAAUUGUUUUAUUUAUAAAAGUUCUUAAUAUAGAAUAGUAUUGAUUUUUCAGUUGGUUUUAUUCUUUGAGUGAAACAUCAAUUUCAAUCUUAUUAAUAGAACUCUUCUGUUUUAAAUCAUCAAGUUUUAAUUUUGCAAUAUUAAUAAUGGAUGGAUGGCCUUUAAGUUAGAAAGUAACUUUCACCAAAUUACUGUGGUAUUAAUUCAAAUUGGUGAUAAUACUCUAACAAUAAUCCAAAAAUCUGAACUAUUUUAUUUAUUUUAAGUUGCCAUGCUAUGAUUUGUUUCCCCAUUUCUUACUUUAUGUGAUAAAGUAUUUCCAAGAAUUUCAUCAUAAUGUGUGAGUGUGUGUUGUUAUAUUUCAUUUUGUCAUAAACAUUGUAUCUGUAAACUCAUUGUCCGAAAUAAUAUAUUGUAUUUAUUUAGAGAGGGCAACUACUAAAACCAAGCAGAGUUCAAUUAAUUUAAAAUGUCUAUCAUAAGAAUCUAUUUAAAUUUCAUUCACAUUAAAUUUUAAUGAUUUUAUAAAAUGAAACUAACUAUCUAAGUUAUAUAUUCUGACUAAAAUGAAGUGCUUAUUUGAGCUCCAUUUCUAAAGUGAAUUUUAGUUAGAUUUUUUUUUGUGAAUGUUGUAAAAGUGACAGUAAGAUAUAAGGUGUUCAACAUAUAUAGUCCAUUCUUUGAAUGCCAUCUUUGUUUUUGUUUUUGUUUUCAUGCAUGUCUUUGUCAUCUUUUUUUUUCUUGGUGAUGUGUGAUUGUAUGGUGAGGUUUUGCUUUUAAACUAGUUCAUAUGAGCAUAUGCUGUAAUCACUCGUCGUUUGCACUUUGAUGCAGGUCAAAUUACAUUGAAAACUUACAUAAUUAGAUAGCAAAAUGGUGUUAGAGAAAUAAUACCUUUUGGACAUAUAGCAUUUGCAAUGCAUAUAAGAUUACAUGCAAAAUUUUAAUUCAAUAUUUGGAAAGAAAAAAAUUGGGGAGGGGGUUAAAAUUGAAGAAAUUAUAGUAUAUGUUCAUAAGCAAACUCCUGAAACUAUACCUUAGAAUCCUGCUUGGUAUUAGUAGUGACAACAGUUAUUUCUAUCAACAGUUAAGACAGAAGUUUUUAUUAGUGUUUUUAUUUAUUUAAACAUAGAUUGUCUAUUGCAGAUUUUAACUUGUGACUACAUUAACAUUGAAUACUGAAUCUUUUCACUGUCCAUUCUAACUACACUACACAUGUGUCUUGUAACAUGACACCUUAUUUCGUCACCAAAUACUAACAGAAAACCAAAACUUAGACAUCAAAUUCACACAAAUUCCUCAAGCAUAAUAUUAAUAGAUGUAAAAAGGGCUUUAUUUGGAAUACAUUAUUGUUCCAAGACCAUUUAAAUAAAUAACACAAAAUCAAGGACGUGUUAAUGUGCAAUACAAUAUUUAAAUCUACAAACAUGAGUAAUGAACGUUUUUAGAUGGACAGUGAAAAUAAGUCAUGAACCAUUCAUGUGAUUUUGUGUAAACAUUUAAGGUUGCUUAUUUCACAUUCAAUCUUGUGCAGCAGUAAUGCUUAUCAAAGACAAGGUAAAGGUGAUUGUAGCCACAUGCUUACAACUUGUACAUGUAACUUGAAUAAAGUUAACAUUAUUUUUAUGAUACCUCUAUGAUAAGUGCUUAAUGCAUUGCUGAGUCAAGUUCAUAAUGUCAUUUUAUAAUAUCCAGAUUGUUUAUAUAGUUUAAGACAAAUUUUUCAGUGGACUAAAACUUAACUGGUUUACACAGCAAAUUGACAACAAAAUGACUACCCAAACUUCUUCUGAAAAGAUUGGACGAAAAAGAUGAAUCCAAGAUGUUACCUGCGAAGGACAUGUAUAAAAGCUCCGUCCAAUUUUGUCAUCCCUAAAUAUGAGUCCUUUGGAAUGGAUUAAAAUGGCGAUUACCUAUAUUUCUUGGAAUUUGGAAUUUAAAUGCUCUUUAUUUAUGCAAAGCUCAUGUUGCUGUAUCUACUUGGAAGAGCUCAUGUUUUUUUUAACAUUUUUUUUGUUUAAUUUAUUUUCGUAUAAUAUAUAUGUAUUUGUGUGUGCUUGCUAUAGUUCAGAUUGUGGUUAUUGUAGAACAUAGAAUAUUGCAUAAAUUAUAUAUUAUACGUUGAUGAUUAGCUGCUAAAAAGUUGAUGAAUGCUUCUUUUCAUGCGGAGUUGACUUAUUUGCAUGUGAUGUACAAAACAUGCAGAACGUUGAUCGCUUCCUUCAACGUCUAGCUGAUCUACUGUUAAAUAACUCGUCAUAUUAUUUACAGUUCCGCCAAACUCAGGAUACGACCCAUAUAGAUAAGGAAUAUAGGUAAACAGUUCCAUCGCCAUUUUAGUAGCUAUAUAAUUGACUGUUGUAUAAUACAAGGACUACCGGAAGUGUGCAACUACCCAUUACCGUUCCGGCAGAAUAUUUCGCAUUAUCCAAUUGUUUUCGAAAAAAGUGCGGACUAUCUGUUCCUGUUGUCGAGUUGAAUCACUGUGUAGUUGUCCGAUAGAAAUUGUGUGUCAAUCUUCAAGAAAUCCUGUUUGUUACGCGCUAUGUGCUAUCUAUUUUAUGUGUGAAUUUUUAGAAUAGUCUUCGGAUGUCGAUUAUGCAAAUUACAUGCAUCACGAGAAAUUAAUGUCAGGUCAUUUUGUACUUUGUUCAUUCAUUCGAGUGUGAGAUGUAUAUAGAUGAAAUGAUUGUAUGUUUUUUGUGAGUCCUACCUUUUGAAACGGUCAUUUGAUCUAAUGAGGCCCAGGUCAUUUGACCGUUUCAUCCAUUAUACUGUGGCAUUGAGACAUUGCUCCAUUGACCCCUAGGGGAGUUAUUUUGUAUAUAAAUCGUCAAUUACGUAGGAAUUGUAGAUAUUUAUUGAGGUGUUAGCAUUCAUUAUUACUAUUUAAGAGUUUAUUUAGUAUAUUUAUAAAUAUUGGUAAACAAAGAAAUCAUUGGUGAAUCUUCCGAUACUUUAAUUCAAUUAAAAAAUAAGUUUUAAAGACAAAACGUUUAACAUUAAAAUUCUAGUUUAAAAAAAAAUAUCUGCACUGAAAGUUACUUCAAAAAGCAUUUCACUAGCAUGCCACAGUAUUUUAAGCCAUUUCAUUAUGGUCAGUUGACUUUGCCAAAAUUAAAGUUCCUAGUGUCCAAAAUAAACAUAUCAAAUUCGGCAUUCAUGACAUUACAUUCAUAAAAGUUUGUUAUUGAACCUUUUUGUUUUACGAUUUGAAGAACCCACCCUAUUGUACCUCAAUUUUUGCCAUUUCAUCGGGCAGAUUAAACUGUUUUAAUGUGAAAUAUUGUUGGUGUAUUGAGAAAUAUUUAUUUUUCCAAAAUAUCUAUUUAUACAAUUGUUUCUAUGACAAACUUGGCAGUUCAUAUGAUAUCAAACAGCAUUUGAUAAUUGUCGGUCUAAACACAAGAUUAUUUAAAAUUUCCAUAUCAUAUGGUAGAUUAUGCAAGCUGCUUAACAGAGAUUCAUAACAGCCUUUGUUGCAAAGGAGAUAAAGACCAAAGUCAAUUAUAAUAUGUUGUUGAUGAAUUUUUAGUAUUGUUUAGUCAGCAAGCUGUAUAGUUGUGUCAAUGAUUUUAUCAGAUAGGUGUUGUGAAAAAGCGAUUUGUUAGGUAGCAAAGUUUUCUGCUCGAUGAUUAGGCACAACAUUAACUGUUAUUGUGUUUGAGCAAAUUAUUUGUGUUAACAACAAUUUUUGCUCGAUGAUAAGGCACAACGACGAUUAACUGCCAGGUUUUUAUACAUUUCCUAUAGAAAUAAAAUAUUUUGUUUGUAA